GGGGGGGGGGGGGGGGGGGUCACCACGAAGACUUUGUGCUUAGGGCACCAAAAUAGCUAGCAACGGCCCUGACAAUAAGGAUAUAAUAUGAGCAUGCACGUGCACACACACACGCACACAUACACACACACACACAUGAAUUUGCAUGUCUUUUGCAUCGCCCUGACCCACACACGGACCUGCGCCCAGAACCAAAACUAGUGUGAGGGUUCAGAUUGGACCAAACUGGAUCUUUGAUGGGACGGUGUGCAAUCCUGGUCCUGACGGGACUCUUGGUCCAGACAGAACCUGGUUCUCGCUCUCGGAUCAGGACUCACCCUGCUGGCUGCUCUCUCUGUGAACACUGCCUUCGUCCUCCUCUUCCUCCUCUCCUUUACUCUCUCUGGACAGCAGCAGACGGAACAGGGCACAGUAACGGGUCAUGGUGCUGACCGGGUUCUCCAGCUGACAGGUAAUCAUUCCGAGCACGGAUCCAUGACCGAUUUACUUCAGAGAGUGUGAGAGAAGGUUCAGGUUUCAGCUCAGGAAAAGGCUGGGGUCAGAGGUCAGCAGCAGAACCACCAGACCAUCUGGGAACCAAUCAUGAAGCAGCUGUUCCUCUCUGCAGCAGCGGGGGGGCAGACAUGAGUCACAGUAAAGCUGAAAGGAACUGAGAAGAUCUAAAGGUCCUCAGAUCCACAUAAGUGUGGUAAUGAUGCCGGACCAUGAGCAUCUAAACACCUUCAUCACCUCUGUGGCUGCUGGAGGCGCUUUGCACCACAAAACUCACAAAAUCUGUCAGAGACGUUGCCAUGGAGACCGACAGGAUCCAUGUGAGAAAGCCCCACCCACUUUGGAGCUACCACUGUCAGUCUUUUAGUAAACGCAUCAGCAGGUGGGAGGCUCCGGUGAGGUCUGCUGCAGGAAGCUGCAGGUGGCAGGUUGAGCCGAAGCAUCUCAGAGCAUCCCGUUCGGCAGCUGAUGAAGCUGAUCUACAGCAGGCAUGUGAAGCAGCCUCAUACAUUAUUAAAAGGUCUGCAGGACUCUGGCGUGCACCGUCUCCAUGGAGACGCUCUUAAAGGGCCACGCCAAAUUUUGUGAACAUCAACAGGCUCACACCAGGCUGGGUCAUCCUGACCAGAACUCCCAGAAUCUGUCUUUUUUUAAGAAAUCAGCAGCCAGUUUAGAUGUUUACCCACAGUCAGAAGUGGUUUCAAUCCUGAAUCCUGCUGCAGCUAACAUUAGCAUUGAGCUAGGUUACCUAUAACUGCCGUUAGCAUGGCCCCUCUGCUCCAUGUCAGUGUCUCCUCUCCUACUGGGAGAAUGCGAUGGAGGUCUGAGGAGAUGAGAGUGGAGAAGUGAGUGGGCAGCAGGAUGUGGAUGUUCGUAGAGGUGGAAGCUGUGGGUCCACCACCUCAGUGGCCUAGUGGUAGAGUGUCCGCCCUUAGUGAUGAUGAUGUGAAGCCUUUUGAACCAACAAAGCUUUACAAUCCAAUUGUAUUGAAAAAUGGUUCAAGGUUCGAUGCUUCAAAACUCUGGGAGGACAUCUGCUGGUUAAUGUUUGUAUUUCAUUGUAUUGUCAGCCAAUUCUACUGAAAAUGAAUGGUGUAUUGAACUUUAUGGACAAAUAAAGCAUUAAAAAGCUUCCUCAGGAUCAUAUAAUAGUAUCUUGGAUUUGAACAUUACAUUAAAUAUACUAAAAUUGCUUUUCUUGGUGUGAAUACUUGAAAUGAAACAAUGUUUAUUUUUAUGGGAUACGUGAUGAAAUAUAUCUAAUUUACACAUAUUAACAUUCUCUACAUAUUCAAAUAUUUUACUUUUCACAUUUCUAUUGGAUUAUUAGGCAGGAAUAAUUAGCUCAAUUUAUGUAUCUUUUUUAGAAAUAGAGUAACAAAAUGAAGAUUAGAAAAUUCACAUAAGGAUAGGACAUACUAAAUUCCAUUACACGUACAACCAAACUGAAAAGCUCAUCAACUAUUAUAUUAAUUACCAAUAAAAGAAGAAAAAUCAUACCAAACUAGAUUUUAAUUUAAUUAAAGGAAAAUGACAGACGGUCUAAAAGAUAUA
Long non-coding RNA from Nothobranchius furzeri (turquoise killifish), 2046 nucleotides. The record is from Ensembl. NCBI's taxonomy places the organism in Eukaryota, Metazoa, Chordata, Actinopteri, Cyprinodontiformes, Nothobranchiidae.